Capsicum annuum is the source of this 106-nucleotide non-coding RNA. NCBI's taxonomy places the organism in Eukaryota, Viridiplantae, Streptophyta, Magnoliopsida, Solanales, Solanaceae. The record is from Rfam.
AUGUAAUGAUGUGGACAUUUUUUGGCAUUGCUUUUAAUCUCUUUCAUACUUGAUAAACUGACUCAGUAUCAAUCUGCAAAAAGUUAUAUAUAUCAUAUUUCAAUCU